Molecule: ribosomal RNA, 741 nt
Filed under: Enterobacter sp.
Lineage: Bacteria; Pseudomonadati; Pseudomonadota; Gammaproteobacteria; Enterobacterales; Enterobacteriaceae
Description: partial 16S ribosomal RNA
Rfam family: Bacterial small subunit ribosomal RNA
Source: RNAcentral
CAUACCAUGCAGUCGACGGUAACAGGAAGCAGCUUGCUGCUUCGCUGACAAGUGGCGGACGGGUGAAUAAUGUCUGGGAAACUGCCUGAUGGAGGGGGAUAACUACUGGAAACGGUAGCUAAUACCGCAUAACGUCGCAAGACCAAAGAGGGGGACCUUCGGGCCUCUUGCCAUCGGAUGUGCCCAGAUGGGAUUAGCUAGUAGGGGGGGUAACGGCUCACCUAGGCGACGAUCCCUAGCUGGUCUGAGAGGAUGACCAGCCACACUGGAACUGAGACACGGUCCAGACUCCUACGGGAGGCAGCAGUGGGGAAUAUUGCACAAUGGGCCCAAGCCUGAUGCAGCCAUGCCGCGUGUAUGAAGAAGGCCUUCGGGUUGUAAAGUACUUUCAGCGGGGAGGAAGGCGAUAAGGUUAAUAACCUUGUCUAUUGACUUUACCCGCAAAAAAAGCACCGGCUAACUCCGUGCCAGCAGCCGCGGUAAUACGGAGGGUGCAACCGUUAAUCGGAAUUUACUGGGCGUAAAGCGCACGCAGGGCGGUUCUGUCAAGUCGGAUGUGAAAUCCCCCGGGCCUCAACCUGGAAACUGCAUUCAAAAACUGGCAGGCUAGAGUCCUUGUAAAGGGGGGUAAAAAUUCCAGGUGUAGCGGUGAAAUGCGAAAACAUCUGGGAGGAAUACGGGUGGCGAAGGGCGCCCCCCUGAACAAAGACUGACCCUCAGGGUGCAAAGCGUGGGGGAGCA